RNAcentral lists this transfer RNA (87 nucleotides) under Treponema sp. Its description in RNAcentral is "tRNA-Ser". It matches the Rfam family "tRNA". Rfam says of the family: Transfer RNA (tRNA) molecules are approximately 80 nucleotides in length. Their secondary structure includes four short double-helical elements and three loops (D, anti-codon, and T loops). The record is from RNAcentral. Lineage: Bacteria; Pseudomonadati; Spirochaetota; Spirochaetia; Treponematales; Treponemataceae.
GGAGAGAUGCGAGAGUGGUUGAAUCGGGCGGUCUCGAAAACCGUUAAGCCCGUAAGGGCUUCGGGGGUUCGAAUCCCCCUCUCUCCG